This 236-nucleotide long non-coding RNA is filed under the name Elaeis guineensis (African oil palm). RNAcentral describes it as "long non-coding RNA (EGUI_LNC024948)". Lineage: Eukaryota; Viridiplantae; Streptophyta; Magnoliopsida; Arecales; Arecaceae. The record is from RNAcentral.
UGCUCAACUCAAAUAGUCCUGUGACUCCUCACCAGGACUACCCUAGCCAAGAUUUUGCUAAAUUGAAAUAUGACUGUACACAGCUCCUGAACUGGAGUGGUCAAUCCCAUCUUGACACACGCACCGACAAGUCAAGUACUUGACUACAUCCAGUAGCCUUCCGUCAUUGAAUUAGAAAUUCAGAUAGUCCAAUGCCUAAGUACAGUGAGUUACUUGCAAGUCACCGUGGUGGUCUC